Molecule: unclassified non-coding RNA, 391 nt
Filed under: soil metagenome
Description: partial contains 5.8S ribosomal RNA, internal transcribed spacer 2, and large subunit ribosomal RNA
Rfam family: 5.8S ribosomal RNA (bases 1-122)
Source: RNAcentral
GAUGAAGAACGCAGCGAAAUGCGAUACUUGGUGUGAAUUGCAGAAUCCCGUGAACCAUCGAGUCUUUGAACGCAAGUUGCGCCCGAAGCCAUUAGGCCGAGGGCACGCCUGCCUGGGCGUCACACGUCGUUGCCCCCCCAUCUACUCCUUCGGGAUUGCGGGGGGCGGAUGAUGGCCUCCCGUGCGCCUCGUCGCGCGGUUGGCAUAAAUGCCAAGUCCUCGGCGACGCACGCCACGACGAUCGGUGGUUGCGAAACCUCGGUUGCCCGUCGUGUGCGGUCGUCGCGCAUCGAGGGCUCGAAAAAAUUGCCGGGCUCCGGCUCGGCUUUCAACGCGACCCCAGGUCAGGCGGAGUUACCCGCUGAAUUUAAGCAUAUCAAUAAGCGGAGGA